GCAUCGGUGGUUUAGUGGUAAAAUUAGCCGUUGCCAAGCAUUGACUUGCUCAGUUUCGGCUAGCCCCGGGUUCGAUUCCCGGCCGAUGCA
This 90-nucleotide transfer RNA is filed under the name Pleomassaria siparia CBS 279.74. It matches the Rfam family "tRNA". Rfam says of the family: Transfer RNA (tRNA) molecules are approximately 80 nucleotides in length. Lineage: Eukaryota; Fungi; Ascomycota; Dothideomycetes; Pleosporales; Pleomassariaceae. The record is from Rfam by way of RNAcentral.